GCGUAACUUCUUUAUCAAGUAUCUGAAGAAACCCAUUCACAGGAGCUUGGUCACUAACUCAUGUCCUAACAUCAGAUCUGGGAUCCACUUGCUAGAUGAAGACCUCCGAUCACUGAAUGGGGAUAGUCCAUCCAGCUGGAAAUUUUACUGGCUCUCCCUGUGUGGCAGCUCCCUUUGCUAUCCCAGACCAAAGUGACUCCAUGCUCCACCUUGCCUUCUCUGAGUAUUUCUUUCAGACCUCCUCAUUUGCUUACUACACUGCAGGGGCCUUCAACAUCACCAUUGCAGAGGAGGUGAGUAGGACACAGAGGAAUGGGGUCAGAGUUGCUCAGGUCAUCCAAGAUGGGCCUUUGACCCACCAG
Molecule: long non-coding RNA, 362 nt
Organism: Calidris pygmaea (Spoon-billed sandpiper)
Lineage: Eukaryota; Metazoa; Chordata; Aves; Charadriiformes; Scolopacidae
Source: Ensembl